AGUCAUAUCACCAUAGACUAGGUGUGAAAACUCCAUUUCUUUCAAAUGCCGAAGGUGUGCUAUGAGGUACUCUGCAUUGAAUGCCGUCAGAAACUGUUCUAAGUGACUAGAAUGGGAAGGGUGUCUACUUGAGCUGCCAAUAGCGACCUGCCUCUCCCACGAGCAUGUAGGUGUUAAGUAUCACCUUUUGUUCAGGAACCACCCUAAGAGUCACGAAGGCCUUCUUUGUCUCAGCUAACUAAUAGUCAACAUUUUCAAAAGAGGAUGCCUCUGAAAAAAUAUAUAAAUGUCUUUUAUACCUUUCAAUGUAGUCUGGGUGCAUCAUUGAUGGAACCAAGUCCUGUGGAAGAAGGACUGGAUUGUGCUGGGGAGAGGCCGGGUGGCCCUAUGGCUACACCUGAUUGUAUGGUGAGGGCACCAAAUUAUACUGU
RNAcentral lists this long non-coding RNA (431 nucleotides) under Carica papaya (papaya). RNAcentral's name for it is "long non-coding RNA (CPAP_LNC014718)". The record is from RNAcentral. Lineage: Eukaryota; Viridiplantae; Streptophyta; Magnoliopsida; Brassicales; Caricaceae.